Molecule: ribosomal RNA, 281 nt
Filed under: uncultured prokaryote
Description: partial 16S ribosomal RNA
Rfam family: Bacterial small subunit ribosomal RNA
Source: RNAcentral
UACGUAGGGGGCUAGCGUUAUCCGGAAUUACUGGGCGUAAAGGGUGCGUAGGCGGUCUUUCAAGCCAGAAGUGAAAGGCUACGGCUCAACCGUAGUAAGCCUUUGAAACUGGGAAACUUGAGUGCAGGAGAGGAGAGUGGAAUUCCUAGUGUAGCGGUGAAAUGCGUAGAUAUUAGGAGGAACACCAGUUGCGAAGGCGGCUCUCUGGACUGUAACUGACGCUGAGGCACGAAAGCGUGGGGAGCAAACAGGAUUAGAUACCCGGGUAGUCCCUGAGCGGG